This 490-nucleotide ribosomal RNA is filed under the name uncultured bacterium. RNAcentral describes it as "partial 16S ribosomal RNA". It matches the Rfam family "Bacterial small subunit ribosomal RNA", at positions 28 to 507 of the family's 1533-position model. The record is from RNAcentral.
GAUGAACGCUAGCUACAGGCUUAACACAUGCAAGUCGCGGGGCAGCAUGGGGGUUGCUUGCAAUCCCCGAUGGCGACCGGCGCACGGGUGAGUAACGCGUAUCCAACCUGCCCUUCACCACGGGAUAACCCGGCGAAAGUCGGACUAAUACCGUAUGUUGUCCAUUGACGGCAUCCGAUUUGGACGAAAGGCUUGGCGGUGAGGGAUGGGGAUGCGUCCGAUUAGCCAGACGGCGGGGUAACGGCCCACCGGGGCUACGAUCGGUAGGGGUUCUGAGAGGAAGGUCCCCGACACUGGAACUGAGACACGGUCCAGACUCCUACGGGAGGCAGCAGUGAGGAAUAUUGGUCAAUGGGCGUAAGCCUGAACCAGCCAAGUAGCGUGCAGGAGGGCGGCGCUAUGGGUGGUAAACUGCCUUUAUGCGGGGAUAAAGUGGCCCACGUGUGGGCUUUUGCAGGUACCGCAUGAAUAAGGACCGGCUAAUUCCGUG